CCCCUUUCAUGGUUGCACCUGGAGAGUUUCCAGUACUCUGCUAGUCUCGACUCAGGGAGGGAGAGUCAAGCAGAAUCAUACCCAUUUCAUUCCUAGCUUGGGCAGUGGCUAGUGAGUUGAAGGCAAUCUGCUACAAGU
Ornithorhynchus anatinus (platypus) is the source of this 138-nucleotide non-coding RNA. The record is from Rfam. NCBI's taxonomy places the organism in Eukaryota, Metazoa, Chordata, Mammalia, Monotremata, Ornithorhynchidae.